GAUGAACGCUGGCGGCGUGCCUAAUACAUGCAAGUCGAGCGAACAGACGAGGAGCUUGCUCCUCUGACGUUAGCGGCGGACGGGUGAGUAACACGUGGAUAACCUACCUAUAAGACUGGGAUAACUUCGGGAAACCGGAGCUAAUACCGGAUAAUAUAUUGAACCGCAUGGUUCAAUAGUGAAAGACGGUUUUGCUGUCACUUAUAGAUGGAUCCGCGCCGCAUUAGCUAGUUGGUAAGGUAACGGCUUACCAAGGCAACGAUGCUUAACCGACCUGAGAGGGUGAUCGACCACACUAAAACUAAGACACGCUCCAGACUCCUACGGGAGGCAACAGUAGGGAAUCUUCCACAAUGGGCGCAAGCCUGACGGAGCAACGCCGCGUGAGUGAUGAAGGUCUUCGGCUCGUAAAACUCUGUUAUUAGGGAAGAACAAAUGUGUAAGUAACUAUGCACGUCUUGACGGUACCUAAUCAGAAAGCCACGGCUAACUACGUG
This 497-nucleotide ribosomal RNA is filed under the name uncultured bacterium. Its description in RNAcentral is "partial 16S ribosomal RNA". It matches the Rfam family "Bacterial small subunit ribosomal RNA", at positions 28 to 507 of the family's 1533-position model. The record is from RNAcentral.